This 497-nucleotide ribosomal RNA is filed under the name uncultured bacterium. RNAcentral describes it as "partial 16S ribosomal RNA". It matches the Rfam family "Bacterial small subunit ribosomal RNA", at positions 28 to 507 of the family's 1533-position model. The record is from RNAcentral.
GACGAACGCUGGCGGCGUGCUUAACACAUGCAAGUCGAACGCUAAAGGUUGGUACUUGUCCCGAGUGGGUGAGCAGCGAAAGUGAGAGUAACGCGUGUGGCAUCUGCCUUUGAGCGGGGGACCACAUGUGGAAACGAAUGCUAAUACCGCAUAAAAACUUUAAACACAGGUUUGAAGGUUAAAAUUUGCAAUUGCGUCACUCAACGAUGAUCCCGCGGUGUAUUAGUUAGUUGGUGAGGUAAAGGCGCACCUAGGCGAUGGUACAUCGCCAACCUGAGAGGGUGGUCGGCCACAGUGGGACGGAGACACGGCCCAAAGGCCUACGGGAGGCGGCAGUAGGGAAUCUUCGGCCAUGGGCGGGAAUCUGACCGAGCAACGCCGCGUGAGUGAAGAAGGUUUUCGGGUCGUAAAACUCUGUUUGUAGGGAAGAACGUGGGUGAGAGUGGAAAGCUCAGCAAGUGACGGUAACGACCCAGAAAGGGACGGCUAACUACGUG